Molecule: ribosomal RNA, 305 nt
Filed under: Biomphalaria tenagophila
Lineage: Eukaryota; Metazoa; Mollusca; Gastropoda; Planorbidae
Description: partial 16S ribosomal RNA
Source: RNAcentral
UUUAAAUGGCCGCAGUACCUUGACUGUGCUAAGGUAGCAUAAUCAAUUGGCUUCUAAUUAAAGUCUAGAAUGAAAGGAAUUAUGAGGUAAUUCUGUCUUAAAAGAUUUUUUUUUAAUUUAUUUAAAUGAUGAAAAUAUCAUUUUUUAGAAAAAAGACGAGAAGACCCUUAGAGUUUAUUUUUUAAUUUUGUUGGGGCGACAAGUAAACAUUUUGAACUUUACUAAUUAAUUUAAUCGAUUUAUAAUAGGAAUAAAAAAACUACCUUAGGGAUAACAGCAUUAUAUUUUUAUAUGAUUGUGACCUC